RNAcentral lists this ribosomal RNA (468 nucleotides) under uncultured bacterium. RNAcentral's name for it is "partial 16S ribosomal RNA". It matches the Rfam family "Bacterial small subunit ribosomal RNA", at positions 28 to 523 of the family's 1533-position model. The record is from RNAcentral.
GAUGAACGCUGGCGGCGUGCCUAACACAUGCAAGUCGAGCGAUUUACUUCGGUAAAGAGCGGCGGACGGGUGAGUAACGCGUGGGUAACCUGCCCUGUACACACGGAUAACAUACUGAAAGGUAAGCUAAUACGGGAUAACACAAGAGAGUCGCGUGGCUUUCUUAUCAAAGCUUUUGCGGUACAGGAUGGAGCCGCGUCUGAUUAGCUAGUUGGUAAGGUAACGGCUUACCAAGGCGACGAUCAGUAGCCGACCUGAGAAGGUGAUCGGCCCCAUUGGAACUGAGACACGGUCCAAACUCGUGCGGGGGGGAGCAGUGGGGAAUAGUGCACAAUGGGCGAAGGCCUGAUGCGGCAACGCGGCGUGAGCGAUGAAGGCCUUCGGGUCGUAAAGCUCUGUCCUCAAGGAAGAUAAUGACGGUACUUGAGGAGGAAGCCCCGGCUAACUACGUGCCAGCCGCCGCGGUAA